This 1396-nucleotide ribosomal RNA is filed under the name bacterium NLAE-zl-P874. RNAcentral's name for it is "16S ribosomal RNA". It matches the Rfam family "Bacterial small subunit ribosomal RNA". The record is from RNAcentral.
AGUCGAGGGGCAGCAUUUCAGUUUGCUUGCAAACUGGAGAUGGCGACCGGCGCACGGGUGAGUAACACGCUAUCCNACCUGCCGAUAACUCGGGGAUAGCCUUUCGAAAGAAAGAUUAAUACCCGAUGGUAUAAUCAGACCGCANGGUCUUAUUAUUAAAGAAUUUCGGUUAUCGAUGGGGAUGCGUUCCAUUAGGCAGUUGGUGAGGUAACGGCUCACCAAACCUUCNAUGGAUAGGGGUUCUGAGAGGAAGGUCCCCCACAUUGGAACUGAGACACGGUCCAANCUNAUACGGGAGGCAGCAGUGAGGAAUAUUGGUCAAUGGGCGCAGGCCUGAACCAGCCAAGUAGCGUGAAGGAUGACUGCCCUAUGGGUUGUAAACUUCUUUUAUAUGGGAAUAAAGUUUUCCACGUGUGGAAUUUUGUAUGUACCAUAUGAAUAAGGAUCGGCUAACUCCGUGCCAGCAGCCGCGGUAAUACGGAGGAUCCGAGCGUUAUCCGGAUUUAUUGGGUUUAAAGGGAGCGUAGGUGGACAGUUAAGUCAGUUGUGAAAGUUUGCGGCUCAACCGUAAAAUUGCAGUUGAUACUGGCUGUCUUGAGUACAGUAGAGGUGGGCGGAAUUCGUGGUGUAGCGGUGAAAUGCUUAGAUAUCACGAAGAACUCCGAUUGCGAAGGCAGCUCACUGGACUGCAACUGACACUGAUGCUCGAAAGUGUGGGUAUCAAACAGGAUUAGAUACCCUGGUAGUCCACACAGUAAACGAUGAAUACUCGCUGUUUGCGAUAUACAGUAAGCGGCCAAGCGAAAGCAUUAAGUAUUCCACCUGGGGAGUACGCCGGCAACGGUGAAACUCAAAGGAAUUGACGGGGGCCCGCACAAGCGGAGGAACAUGUGGUUUAAUUCGAUGAUACGCGAGGAACCUUACCCGGGCUUAAAUUGCAUUUGAAUANUNUGGAAACAGGUUAGCCGCAAGGCAAAUGUGAAGGUGCUGCAUGGUUGUCGUCAGCUCGUGCCGUGAGGUGUCGGCUUAAGUGCCAUAACGAGCGCAACCCUUAUCUUUAGUUACUAACAGGUCAUGCUGAGGACUCUAGAGAGACUGCCGUCGUAAGAUGUGAGGAAGGUGGGGAUGACGUCAAAUCAGCACGGCCCUUACGUCCGGGGCUACACACGUGUUACAAUGGGGGGUACAGAAGGCAGCUACCUGGUGACAGGAUGCUAAUCCCAAAAGCCUCUCUCAGUUCGGAUCGAAGUCUGCAACCCGACUUCGUGAAGCUGGAUUCGCUAGUAAUCGCGCAUCAGCCAUGGCGCGGUGAAUACGUUCCCGGGCCUUGUACACACCGCCCGUCAAGCCAUGAAAGCCGGGGGUACCUGAAGUACGAACCGCAAGAGCUCCUAGG